GGCUCAGACUCAAGUCGUAACAAGGUAACCGUAGAGUUUGAUACUGGUGAGUACACGUGGGUAACCUGCCCAUAAGACUGGGAUAACUCCGGGAAACCGGAGCUAAUACCGGAUAACAUUUUGAACCGCAUGGUUCUAAAUUGAAAGGCGGCUUCGGUUGUCACUUAUGGAUGGACCCGCCCCGAAUUACCUAGUUGGAGAGGUAACGGUUCACCAAGGCAACAAUGCGAACCCAACCUGAAAGGGGGAUCGGCCACCCUGGGACUGAAACCCGGCCCAAACUCCUACGGAAGGCAGCAGAAGGGAAUCUUCCGCAAGGGACAAAAGCCUGACGAAGCAACGCCGCGGGAGGGAUGAAGGCUUUCGGUUCGAAAAAUUCUGUUGUUAGGAAAAAACAAGGGCUAGUUGAAUAAGCUGGCACCUUGACGGUACCUACCCAAAAACCCACGUAUAUCUACGUGCCAGCACCCGCGGAAAUACGUAGGUGGCAAGCGUUAUCCGAAAUUAUUGGGCGUAAAGCGCGCACAGGUGGUUUCUUAAGUCUGAUGUGAAACCCCACGUCUCACCCGUGGAGGGUCUUUGGACUGUGGGACACUUGAGUGCAAAAGAAGAGAGUGAAAUUCUGUGUGUAGCGGAGAUAUGCGUAGAUAUAUGGAGGAACCCCCAGUGGAGAACGACACUUUCUGCUCUGU
Molecule: ribosomal RNA, 692 nt
Filed under: Bacillus cereus
Lineage: Bacteria; Bacillati; Bacillota; Bacilli; Caryophanales; Bacillaceae
Description: bacterial SSU rRNA
Rfam family: Bacterial small subunit ribosomal RNA
Source: RNAcentral